This 253-nucleotide ribosomal RNA is filed under the name uncultured bacterium. RNAcentral describes it as "partial 16S ribosomal RNA". It matches the Rfam family "Bacterial small subunit ribosomal RNA", at positions 524 to 776 of the family's 1533-position model. The record is from RNAcentral.
UACGGGGGGGGCAAGCGUUGUUCGGAAUUACUGGGCGUAAAGGGCGCGUAGGCGGCCCUCUAAGUCAGACGUGAAAUCCCCCGGCUUAACCUGGGAACUGCGUCUGAUACUGGAGGGCUUGAGUAUGGGAGAGGGAUGUAGAAUUCCAGGUGUAGCGGUGAAAUGCGUAGAUAUCUGGAGGAAUACCAGUGGCGAAGGCGGCGACCUGGUCAGAUACUGACGCUGAGGUGCGAAAGCGUGGGGAGCAAACAGG